This 523-nucleotide ribosomal RNA is filed under the name uncultured bacterium. Its description in RNAcentral is "bacterial SSU rRNA". It matches the Rfam family "Bacterial small subunit ribosomal RNA", at positions 355 to 896 of the family's 1533-position model. The record is from RNAcentral.
UGAGGAAUAUUGCGCAAUGGGGGAAACCCUGACGCAGCAACGCCGCGUGGGUGAAGAAGGCCUUAGGGUUGUAAAUCCCUUUCGGCGGGGAAGAUGGUGACGGUACCCGCAGAAGAAGCUCCGGCUAACUCCGUGCCAGCAGCCGCGGUAAUACGGAGGGAGCUAGCGUUGUUCGGAAUUACUGGGCGUAAAGGGCGCGUAGGCGGUUAAGUAAGUCAGAUGUGAAAGCCCCGGGCUCAACCUGGGAACUGCAUUUGAUACUGCUUAACUAGAGUGUGGUAGAGGAGAGUGGAAUUUCAGGUGUAGCGGUGAAAUGCGUAGAGAUCUGAAGGAACAUCAGUGGCGAAGGCGACUCUCUGGACCAACACUGACGCUGAGGUGCGAAAGCGUGGGUAGCAAACAGGAUUAGAUACCCUGGUAGUCCACGCCGUAAACGAUGUCAACUAACUGUUGGGCGGGUUUCCGCUUAGUGGUGCAGCUAACGCAAUAAGUUGACCGCCUGGGGAGUACGGCCGCAAGGCUA